CAGUCGCCACGGUAAUACGUAGGGUGCAAGCGUUAAUCGGAAUUACUGGGCGUAAAGCGUGCGCAGGCGGUUCGCUAAGACAGAUGUGAAAUCCCCGGGCUUAACCUGGGAACUGCAUUUGUGACUGGCGGGCUAGAGUAUGGCAGAGGGGGUAGAAUUCCACGUGUAGCAGUGAAAUGCGUAGAGAUGUGGAGGAAUACCGAUGGCGAAGGCAGCCCCCUGGGCCAAUACUGACGCUCAUGCACGAAAGCGUGGGGAGCAAACAGGAUUAGAUACCCCUGUAGUCCCUGUCUCUUAUACC
This 301-nucleotide ribosomal RNA is filed under the name uncultured bacterium. RNAcentral's name for it is "partial 16S ribosomal RNA". It matches the Rfam family "Bacterial small subunit ribosomal RNA", at positions 509 to 808 of the family's 1533-position model. The record is from RNAcentral.